AAUCACCCAGUAAUGUAUAAAAUAUCUCUUUCUCUUUCACUUAGAAACACACACACACACACUUAGAAUUUGGACUCAUUGGUCAUAUAUUGCACAACUCCGCCCAUCCCACAAGCCGCAUGACAAACCUGUGUGUCAAGAUUAUAACUUUUCAGAGUUAAGAUCAGAGAGGACACAUUUGCUGAGAACCAAGAGUUGGGCUACAAGACAUUGCAGACUACCAGGAGUUGAAAUGGGUCUUCCAGACGGGCUGUUAGAGUUCUUGGGGCCAGUAGGGUGGGGGGCAGCAGCGCUGGUAGGGGUGGUUAUAUUGAUUCAAGUGGUUAAAAAGAACAGAGAGGAGAAACGUUCUAUUUCUCCAGGAACUCACAAGUGUUUUGGUGACGAGAGAACACGGUUGAAGGAGGAAAAGUCGAAUGAAGCUUCUGGAAGAACUGGAAACUCUAGGAAGAAGAGAGUAGAACCGUGCCGUCAUGCCGAACAUGAGGAUGACAUAAUGAAAGGUUACGGCCUUGGACAUGUUCACAAAUAUAAAGAUGACAAGAAAUUUCGACCAUCUUGGUGUGAUAAGGAGAAUGAAGGCAUUACAGAGGCAGACCAUAUUCCACCUAAAGAUUCUCUGAAGAAGGCCCUAAACAAUGUACGACUGGAUCGUCUCCUACAAGUGAAUCCAAGGCUUCAUGAGAUGAUCAUGAGCCUUGAUUAUGACCCAACUGGACAGAACCUGUUAACCAUGAGGGUUCUUUACCAGGAUCACAGAGAUGCUCUGACCACUGGUAGCAGCAAAGAAUCUAAAAUAUGCAGGUGGAUUUUGACACAAACAAUGCUAAGCGGAAAAGAUGAUUGUGCAGUAAAAAUGCUGGAGCAAGCUUUUAUCAUGGGUCAUCCUAUAGCUUCCCAGAUGCUCAGACAUGAUGCUGGAUUUGUUGACGCCGCACUACGUACCGAGGGUAAAGUUGACAUGUCUGAUGAAGGCACAAGGAGCUACUACAGAUAUGGCUACACUGACCUGGUCAAUGAAUAUCUCUACAAGGGGAUAAUCAACGAUGGUCAAGCAAAAGACCUCAAAAUAUGGGUGAAAAGAGAGAUGCACCUGGACCGGGAUACCGCAGAGUAUAAGGAGAUCCUUGAAGACAUUAAUGAUUUCUAUGACUGUUUUCAUAUGUUGUAGGCUUACUCUUACAGCAGUAUCCAAGGGGAAAGAAUCAAAAAUGUUGCAAUCUCUAUUGCACUCCACACUGCCCUUUCCCACCUGGACGAAAGGAACAUCUAUGUGAGAAUGCUGUUCAUUGACUACAGCUCAGCGUUCAACACCAUAGUACCCUCAAAGCUCAUCACCAAGCUAAGGAUCCUGGAACUAAACACCUCCCUCUGCAACUGGAUCCUGGACAUCCUGACUGGCCGCCCCCAGGUGGUGAGGGUAGGUAGCAACACAUCUGCCACGCUGAUCCUCAACACUGGAGCUCCCCAGGGGUAAGUGCUCAGUCCCCUCCUGUACUCCCUGUUCACCCACGACUGCAUGGCCAGGCACGACUCCAACACCAUCAUUAAGUUUGCUGACGACACAACAGUGGUAGGCCUGAUCACCGACAACGACGAGACAGCCUAUAGAGAGGAGGUCAGAGACCUGGCCGGGUGGUGCCAGAAUAACAACCUAUCCUUCAACGUAACCAAGACUAAGGAGAUGAUUGUGGACUACAGGAAAAGGAGCACCGAGCACGCCCCUAUUCUCAUCGACGGGGCUGUAGUGGAGCAGGUUGAGAGCUUCAAGUUCUUGGGUGUCCACAUCAACAACCAACUAGAUUGGACCAAACAAGCCAUAAGACUCCUGAACAACCAAAUGGUUACCUGGACUAUUUGCAUUGUCUGAGUUACAGUUCAUAUGAGGAAAUCAGUCAAUUUAAAUGCAUUCAUUAGGCCCUAAUCUAUGGAUUUUAAAUGACUGCGAAUACAGAUUUGUAUCUGUUGGUCAAAGAUACCUUUAAAAAAUGGGCCUCAAAAUAGGCCUUAUUUCUGUGCAUUCAAAUUGCCAUUGAUAAAAUGCAAUUGUGUUCAUUGUCCGUAGCUUAUGCCUGCCAUACCAUAACCCCACUGCCACCAUGGGGCACUCUGUUCACAAUGUUGCCAUCAGCAAACCGCUCGCCCACAUGACACCAUACACGUGGUCUGCGGUUGUGAGGUCAGUUGGACGUAGUGCCCAAUCCUCUAAAACCACGUUGACGGCGGCUUGUGGUAGUCGCCUUCUGUACUCCCUGUUCACACCCGACUCCAACACCAUCAUUAAGUUUGCACAACAGUGGUAGGUCUGAUCACCGACAAUGAUGAGACAGCCUAUAGGCCAGGACAACAAACUUUCCCUCACUGUGAGCAAGACAGAGGAGAUGAUUGUGGACGACAGGAAAAGGAGGGCCGAACAUGCCACCAUUCACAUCGAAUGGGCUGUAGUGGAGCAGGUCGAGAGUUUCAUGUUCCUUGUUGUCCACAUCACCAACAAACUAACAUGGUCCAAACACAUCAACACAGUCCUGAAGAGGGCACAACAAAACCUUUCCCCCUCAAAAAAGAUUUGUCAUGGGUCCCAGAUCCUCAAAAAGUUCUACAGCUACACCAUCGAGAGCAUCCUGACCGGUUCUAUCACAUCCUGGUAUGGCAACUGCUCGGCCUCCCACCAUAAGGCGCUACAGGGGGUAGUGCGUACGCCCAGUACAUCACUGGGACCAAGCUUCCUGCCAUCCAAGACCUAUAUGCUAGGCAGUGUCUGAGGAAGGCCCAAAAAAUUGUCAAAGACUCCAGUCACCCAAGUCAUAGACUGUUCUCUCUGCUACUGCACGGCAAGCGGUUCCGGAGCUCCAAGUCUAGGUCCAAAAGGCUCCUUAAUUAACAGCUUCUAUCCCCAAGCCACAAGACUGCUGAACAAUUAAUUAAAUGGUCACCCUGACUAUUUGCAUUGACUCCCCCCUUUUGUUUUUACACUGCUGCUACUCACUGUUUAUUAUCUAUGCAUAGUCACUUUACCCCUACCUACAUGUACAAAUUACCUCGACUAACCUGUACCCCUGCACAUUGACUUGGUACCGGUACCCCCUGUAUAUAGCCUCGUUAUUGUUAUUUUAUUGUUACUUUUAUUACAUUUUUUCCUUUAGUUUAUUUAGUAAAUAUUUUCUUAACUCUAUUUCUUGAACUGCAUUGUUGGUGAAGGGCUUGUAAGUUAGCAUUUCACGGUAAGAUCUACACCUGUUGUAUUCGGUGCAUGUGACAAAUAACAUUUGAUUUGAUGGUAAAAGAAAUUAACAUUAAAUUAUCUGGCAAAGCUCUGGUGGACAUUCCUGCACUCAGCAUGGCAAUUGCACGCUCCCUCAAAACAAAAAAUUAAAUUUUAGAGUGGCCUUUUAUUGUUCACAGCACAAGGUGCACCUGUGUAAUGAUGUUUAAUCAAAGUAAUGAUGUUUAAUCAGCUUCUACAUAUGUCACACCUGUCAGGUGGAUGGAUUAUCUUGGCAAAGGAGAAAUGCUCACUAAUAGGGUUGUAAAAAAAUAUGUGCUCAACAUUUGAGAGAAAUAACCUUGUGUGUGUGGAACACUUCUGGGAUCUUUUAUUUCAGCUCAUGAAACAUGGGACCAACACUUAACAUGUUGCGUUCACAUUACAGUGUACAUUUACAGAACUUCUGAUCAUUUUCUUGCCUUAGUACCCGUUCAUGGACUAUUAACACAUUGUUUUCAUCAGAAGAGAAAUGUGUGAAAUUUCCCGGCAAUCAGUAAAUACUACUGGGCAAAAUUCUAAAUCAUCCCAUCAGUGUGAUACUAUGUAAAAUAUAUGGGAAGAUCUAGACAAUGGGGACUGUCUAAUUGUUAUGAUUUAGAUUUUUUUUUUGCAGUAUUGCGGAUAUGCAGAGACGCAAACAAUUAAGUUGGGUUCCUUUUCAUCUCCCACAUUGUGACCUUCCAGUAUAGAGCUUUGCUUUGGUGUGGAUUUAGACUUAUAGGUUCAUAUCAGUAGUGUUUCUCCAUUGUAUUCACUUUUCCAUGUUCUAUUGUGAAUUGUGUUUCUGUGUAGCUAUGGAAAGUUUUUUUUAAACUAUCAGCGAACCAACUUUUGAAUUGAAUACAUGGAAUUGGAUUGUGAUGAUACCGAUGAAUGAGUCCUGCACACAAUGUGCUUAUUUUUUUCAAUGUUUUUACCAGGAAUUAUAUUUGAUUUCCUGUGUAUGAAAUUGUUUGGUGAAAUAUUUGCCCAUCAUUCCACACCUUUAGAUAGUUGUGCUUCCAAUUUUAAUCAUCAGGAUUUAGUGACCAAAAAAUAGAAAUAGAAAUAAAAUGUGUUGAUCUACUGGGAUUUUUAAAAUACUUUAACUUCCUGUUUUGUCUGCUUGGACUCGAGAGAUAAGUAUGGUUGUGUUAAUGUUCUUGCAGGCAGUCAUGUUCUUUUGAUGAAUUUACUUAUGUUUUGAGAAGGCAACUUCACCUUGAAAAUGGAUUUACUGUUUUGCAAAAGCCCACAAAGUUCUGUUUCUUGUGGAUUCUUGUUAUGAAAAAAAAUGCUUGUACGGGAUUGAGAUAGACUGUAAUAAAAUAUGAACUGUAGUACUCUAGUAAUCUAAAUAUUUCAAUAAGUAAGUGGAUGGAAAAAGCUUUCUGACCGCGACUGGACAGAAUAUAGUGGUCAGGAGGACAGGCAGGCUAGCUCUUACCAGCUCUGCAUACUGUAACUAUCCCAAACCUUCCACCUUCCAUGAAGAGUGCAGUUACAUGUUUUCACCUGUUGACGGUGCUGCCCACUUUGAUAGAGUGGGCAGCACCACCAUAGAGUAGUACAGUACAGUAUAGUACCAACACUAGUAUGGUAGAGUAUUACAGUAUAGUAUAGUACCAACACCAGCAUGGUAGAGUAGUACAGUACAGUAACAACACCAGCAUGGUAGAGUAGUACAGUAUAGUAUAGCACCCACAGCAGCAUGGUAGAGUAGUACAGUAUAGUAUAGCACCAACAACAGCAUGGUAGAGUAGUACAGUAUAGUAUAGUACCAACACCAGCAUGGUAGAGUAGUACAGUACAGGACCAACACCAGCAUGGUAGAGUAGUACAGUACAGUAUAGUACCAACAACAGCAUGGUAGAGUAGUACAGUACAGUAUAGUACCAACACCAGCAUGGUAGAGUAGUACAGUAUAGUACAGUACCAACAACAGCAUGGUAGAGUAGUACAGUACAGGACCAA
Molecule: long non-coding RNA, 5218 nt
Organism: Oncorhynchus tshawytscha (Chinook salmon)
Lineage: Eukaryota; Metazoa; Chordata; Actinopteri; Salmoniformes; Salmonidae
Source: Ensembl